Talpa occidentalis (Iberian mole) is the source of this 4079-nucleotide long non-coding RNA. RefSeq lists it as uncharacterized. Lineage: Eukaryota; Metazoa; Chordata; Mammalia; Eulipotyphla; Talpidae. The transcript has 4 exons. The record is from RefSeq and is a predicted model, not a curated record.
UUUGAGCUCUGGGGAGCUGAGCCCCCGGGUGCUGUCUGGGCGCGGGGAGGGACCCUGGGAGGGCGCAGGGGAAGGAGCCUGGUCCUCGGACUCCAGAGUUGGAGCUGAAGGUCAAACGGUGGUGGGAAUAGACGGGACAGACUCUUGCUUACCGUCUUAUUUUGGAAGAUUUUUUAAAUACUCUGGAUAAUCAAACUUCUCUAAAACUAUCAAGUUACAGGAACCAUCAGACCUUACAGUCCAGGCACUGGGGCUCAAGCCACCCCAGCUUCUGUCUCCUUUGGAUGAGAAGUCAUUGAUCCCCUGAGAAGCUGGCCAGUCUCCACUGGUCACUCUCUGGACAUUGGUUGAUCCUGGAAAAGGCCAAGGGUAUUUUGCACUGAACUCAUCAGCCUGGUGGACUUCAAGAAGCACGUCACAGUCUUGAAGGAGCACAGCAAGAAGGUGCUGGGGCUUGUGCUGCCUCUGGCAACUCUCUCAUUUGGAUGAGACUCAUCCUGCCCCCAAGAUGCUGGCCAGUCUCCACUGGUUAAGGUCUGGAAAAUGGCUGAUUCCUGAGAAGCCAAGGUAUCUGCAGCAUGGAACUCAUCAGCCUGGCAGUCUUGGGGAUGCCUGUCAGUGGCACAGUCCUGAAGGAGCACAGCAGGGACGCAGCCUGGAGACUAGUUCUGGGACGCUGUAAACCUCUGAUAUUGACCCUUCCCGAACUACACCUCUAAAUGUGACUUUUCCCCAUCUGCUUCCAUAGAUUUUUGGGGUGUUGUGGGCCUCUUUCUGGAUCCCUGGGUUGGAUGUGGGUACUCAGGUGACUGCUGGCGUGACUUGAUUUCGUGGUUCCUUACUAGCAGGGACAUCUUUGAUCCCUUCACAUUCAAGUUGUUCUCUGACCUCUGCACAUUGUGGUCCUAAUGUGAGGUCCACUGUUGCCACACUCUGGUAGGAGUCUGGUGAUGAGAGACCCUCACUCUCCUCCCUUGGUCACUCUUGUCCCAAGUGGCCAUUACUGAACUUGGGAUUGGCUCUAGGCUGCCUCCCUCAACCCCCAGGACAUUCCAUCUGCUCCAGAGCCUGCCCACCAAGGGGUAUGUUAAGGUUGGGAAUGGGCCUUCUUUCCUGUCCAGUAACAGGGGUCUAUGAGAUGCCGUGGUCAUCACCACAUGGGGUCCCUGCCUGGGCCUUCUGGGAGUCCUCAUUGGCAGGAAAGGGGGCUGGGAAGGAAGGCACCUGGGUGAGGUUGGAAUUGAUAUUUUAUUAUCAAGCUCUGCUCCAAAUGAUGUGGGGUUCUAUACCAGGGCUUAAUUAACUUGCCUUUGGAGCCCAUCCCUGAUACACAGAAGGCUAAGCUAGAAAAGAAAGACUGCAGAUGGGCUGAGGCUGGAACUUUUUUCAACUUGAAGAGAUUAGCAACUUCAGUAUUCUGAAGGUCUAGUGCCUCCUGGGUCUCACACAAACCCUUCUUGUAUGUGCUUCCUGCUCAUUUCCGUGAGCCGGCUGAGCACAGACAGCUACAGGCAGGCAGUUGUGUAACUCGCUGGUGGAGGAGACUCAUGUCCAGGCUCCUUGGGAGGGUGGACUGCCUGGGAAGGGAAAAGGCAUGUUGGUCACCAGCCUGGAGCAAUGACCAUCCAGGGGGAUCUGACUCUUUUGAAACUGCCAGAAUUUCCUGACGAAAUGGGCUCCCAGGAUGAUUUCUGUGUUAUCUGCAGGCAACUGUUUAAGGGCCUCAUUAUCUUUCCUUUUAACAAUGACCUUCAAGCCCGGGAGUCCCCAAAAUCCUGGGAGAUGUUGGGGGUUACUUUGCUGGUGGCUUCUUGCAAUUAUUUAUGCACAGAGGAUGAAUUACUGCUUCCUAGCAGCUUCUGCAAGAGGUGACAUUACAGGUUUUGUAUUGCCAUUGGCAUGAAGAAUCAUGACCUAUUCUAAGCCACAGGGCUAGAUACCCUACAGCAGCCACUCUGGGGUGGUCGUGAAGUUGGUGGGAAUGGAAAUGAGGGUUAGAAGUGGGGCUGGGUCUCAACCUGAGCCUUAUAUCCCAUCCAUGAUUGGGCUCCAGAAGGAGUUUAGUGUUGGGUUUGGGCCACAGGGGACUGAACCAUGGGCUGGGCCAGAGAGUGAUGUGAAGCUACUUCCACUUCAUGAAUUUGCCCAGGUAAGACAUUAAACAGUUGUCCCAACAGGGUGGAGGGAAGUUGUUCUGGGGAUCCAGAGACUAUGACGAAUCCAUUAGGGACUCACUGUGCAGAUUCAUAGAUCCCAAUGUCUUCUGUAAGUGGCCCCCCAAAAUCUCAGUACAAGGUAGCUCUAGCACCCAGCAGCUGCUCUGAUCUGUCUUUCAUGCUCCAGAAUGGUGGGCCACCCAUGAUAUCCUCUGUGUCAUCCAGCGACUUGAGCAUAUUCCCCAAAGAAUUUAGGUGAAUGUCUGACUCUUCUGCUGCUUCUCUCUCCUUUCAGCUGUACCCUCAUGUGGAUUAGAUGUCCAGUAGCUUCCGGUGGUCAGGGCUGAUGAAAGUUGGGCUACCAGCCUCUACCUGGUGGUUUCUAGUGUUGUCCCAGAAUGGGGCCCCUGGUGGGGGGCUUGGAAGUUCCCCUUUCCGGGACUCAGGAUGUGACCAUGCUGAGAGGCUCAUGGCUUUGGCCCCUCUGGAAUCCCACCAGGACAUGGACGUAAAAGGACGGGUUGAGCAUCCUAGGCCUGAGAUGGUUAAGAUGGGAGAAUGUGUCCAAGGGAUAUGGGGAGAAGAGUAUGGGGCAGUGCCCAUUGGCAGGGGCAGUGCCCAUUGGCAGUAACAAUGAGUCACACUGAGAAAGAGUCAGGCUGGAGCCUGGAGAUGGGAGGCCAUCAGACAUGGAGGCCAGGCCUCUAAACCAGGGGGUGCUGAGGGGCAAGGUGAAGAAGCAGGUGAAUGGGGGCAAAGGCUCUCCAGGGAAAGAGGAGUGUCUGAUGGCUCAGAGGCGGUCGGGUAUGACUCUGCACUAACAGAAAGUAAGGAAAACAUGGGUCCUGUUGAGUGGGUGGAGGCCAGAGGUAAGGAGUGCUUGGUUGGAGAAGCUGACAGGGACAUGGCAGGAGUAGCAACUUCCACGCACUUCCCUGGAGGCUGGUGGGCUCUGGCAGGUGCUACUUUCCACACAUUGCCCACGGGGUCAUGACCUAAGGGCUGAUGGCAGCUGACCUUUUUAGGGUGCAUCCUCAGGUGGCUGCACAAGAAAGGAGGUCCAAGCUAUGACCAAAAGCAGAGGGUUCCGGGAGUCCCAGGUAGUCCAGGCAGGUGGGCACCGGUAUCGCAGUCUCCUUCCAUUGCCUUUGGCUGACCUGGGCUAUCAGCCUCCACCUGUCGUUUUCUAGUGUCUACUCAGAAUGGUGCACCUGAUGGGGGGCUGGAAAGGGGCUGUCAAAGGGACCCAGGAUGUGACCAUGCUGAGAAGUUCAAGGCUUUGGCAAUCCUUGAAUCCCAGGCAGGCAGGGACUAAAAGGACAGGUUGGGCGUCAUAGGACUGCAAAUAUUGUUGGUUUCACUUCUUUUCUGAUUUGGAUUCCUUUUAUGUCUAUCCAUUGCUUAACUGACUGCGCUGACUUGGGCUGCCAAUACUUUGUUGAAUAUCACUGAAGAGAUCCUGACAUACCUGUCCUGUACUUAUUCUUAGGGGAAACCUUUUAGUAUUUUUAAAUUUACUUAUGCAUACAAGAUCUGGGGUGCAGGCCUACGGUGUGGUGGGUGAGAUGAUUCACAGGAGACAGAGUGGGGAGAAGAACAGGUAGAUCUACUAAAAUACACUGCUGAGCAAUCAAAAAAGAUAAACUCAGGCCAUUUGCAGCAACAUGGAUGGAGCUGGAAGGGAUCAUGCUCAGUGAAAUAAGCCAAAAAGAAAAAGAAAAAUGCCAGAUGGUCUCACAGCAGGAAUUUAGUAAACCCAAACAAGUGAUCCAUAAUAAGACUAAUUAUAAUAAAGUAAAAGUCAAAAUCAACAGGCAACUAUAAACCAGAGGCACAUUGUGGGGCGGGGGAGAAGGGAGUAGGAUCAAAAUAAAGAUGGUGGGCAUUUUACAGGAACUAUAACUAAGAUGAAGAUGCACACAU